AUUGAACGCUGGCGGCAUGCUUUACACAUGCAAGUCGAACGGCAGCGCGGGCUUCGGCCUGGCGGCGAGUGGCGAACGGGUGAGUAAUACAUCGGAACGUGCCCAGUAGUGGGGGAUAGCUCGGCGAAAGCCGGAUUAAUACCGCAUACGACCUGAGGGUGAAAGCGGGGGAUCUUCGGACCUCGCGCUAUUGGAGCGGCCGAUGGCAGAUUAGCUAGUUGGUGGGGUAAAGGCCUACCAAGGCGACGAUCUGUAGCUGGUCUGAGAGGACGACCAGCCACACUGGGACUGAGACACGGCCCAGACUCCAACGGGAGGCAGCAGUGGGGAAUUUUGGACAAUGGGCGAAAGCCUGAUCCAGCAAUGCCGCGUGUGUGAUGAAGGCCUUCGGGUUGUAAAGCACUUUUGGCGGGAACGAAAAGGACUGUGCCAAUACCACGGUUCGAUGACGGUACCCGCAGAAUAAGCACCGGCUAACUACGUG
RNAcentral lists this ribosomal RNA (484 nucleotides) under uncultured bacterium. RNAcentral describes it as "partial 16S ribosomal RNA". It matches the Rfam family "Bacterial small subunit ribosomal RNA", at positions 29 to 507 of the family's 1533-position model. The record is from RNAcentral.